RNAcentral lists this ribosomal RNA (44 nucleotides) under Spiroplasma poulsonii. Its description in RNAcentral is "partial 23S ribosomal RNA". Lineage: Bacteria; Bacillati; Mycoplasmatota; Mollicutes; Entomoplasmatales; Spiroplasmataceae. The record is from RNAcentral.
UGAAGUUACAAAGGGCGUAUGGUGAAUGCCUUGGGAAUAGGAGA